ACAGAGGGAGGUGGAAUUCCCGGUGUAGUGGUGAAAUGCGUAGAUAUCGGGAGGAACACCAGUGGCGAAGGCGGCCUCCUGGGUCGCCCCUGACGCUCAGACGCGAAAGCUAGGGGAGCAAACGGGAUUAGAUACCCCGGUAGUCCUAGCUGUAAACGAUGUGGACUUGGCGUUGGUGGGGUCAAAUCCAUCAGUGCCGGAGCUAACGCGAUAAGUCCACCGCCUGGGGACUACGGUCGCAAGGCAAAACUCAAAGGAAUU
This 261-nucleotide ribosomal RNA is filed under the name uncultured organism. RNAcentral describes it as "partial 16S ribosomal RNA". It matches the Rfam family "Bacterial small subunit ribosomal RNA", at positions 651 to 911 of the family's 1533-position model. The record is from RNAcentral.